GCCUGGGUGGCUCAGUCAGUUAAGCGUCUGACUUCGGCUCAGGUCGUGAUCUCACGGUUUGUGGGUUUGAGCCCCACAUUGGGCU
RNAcentral lists this transfer RNA (85 nucleotides) under Felis catus (domestic cat). It matches the Rfam family "tRNA". From Rfam's summary of the family: Transfer RNA (tRNA) molecules are approximately 80 nucleotides in length. Lineage: Eukaryota; Metazoa; Chordata; Mammalia; Carnivora; Felidae. The record is from Rfam by way of RNAcentral.